RNAcentral lists this ribosomal RNA (253 nucleotides) under uncultured bacterium. RNAcentral describes it as "partial 16S ribosomal RNA". It matches the Rfam family "Bacterial small subunit ribosomal RNA", at positions 524 to 776 of the family's 1533-position model. The record is from RNAcentral.
GACAGAGGGUGCAAACGUUGUUCGGAAUUACUGGGCGUAAAGCGCGUGUAGGCGGCUAUGUAAGUCGGGCGUGAAAUCCCACGGCUCAACCGUGGAAGUGCACCCGAAACUGCGUAGCUAGAGUCCUGGAGAGGAAGGUGGAAUGCUUGGUGUAGAGGUGAAAUGCGUAGAUAUCGGGAGGAACACCUGUGGCGAAAGCGGCUCACUGGACCACAACUGACGCUGAGGCGCGAAAGCUAGGGGAGCAAACAGG